AUCGCGGACGCGGGUCAAAGUGCAUUAUCUGUUCUUAUCAACUUAAUAUCUGUUACGGGUUGUAUUUGGACCCAAGAUAUUGAAUUUAUAUUUGCAAGUUGGCGGAGUGCUUGAAGCCUGCUUCACCUCCGCCGCGGGUCGACCCACGGGGAAACUUUCUAUGUUGAUGCGACAGAGCAAAU
Small nuclear RNA from Dermacentor silvarum, 182 nucleotides. RefSeq annotates it as U2 spliceosomal RNA. The transcript has a single exon. Lineage: Eukaryota; Metazoa; Arthropoda; Arachnida; Ixodida; Ixodidae. The record is from RefSeq and is a predicted model, not a curated record.